This 431-nucleotide ribosomal RNA is filed under the name uncultured bacterium. RNAcentral describes it as "partial 16S ribosomal RNA". It matches the Rfam family "Bacterial small subunit ribosomal RNA", at positions 29 to 507 of the family's 1533-position model. The record is from RNAcentral.
AACGAACGCUGGCGGCAGGCUUAACACAUGCAAGUCGAGCGCCCCGCAAGGGGAGCGGCAGACGGGUGAGUAACGCGUGGGAACGUACCUUUCGGUUCGGAACAACUCCGGGAAACUGGAGCUAAUACCGGAUAAGCCCUAACGGGGAAAGAUUUAUCGCCGAAAGAUCGGCCCGCGUCUGAUUAGCUAGUUGGUGAGGUAACGGCUCACCAAGGCGACGAUCAGUAGCUGGUCUGAGAGGAUGAUCAGCCACACUGGGACUGAGACACGGCCCAGACUCCUACGGGAGGCAGCAGUGGGGAAUAUUGGACAAUGGGCGCAAGCCUGAUCCAGCCAUGCCGCGUGAGUGAUGAAGGCCUUAGGGUUGUAAAGCUCUUUUGUCCGGGAAGAUAAUGACUGUACCGGAAGAAUAAGCCCCGGCUAACUUCGUG